Long non-coding RNA from Hyla sarda, 383 nucleotides. RefSeq lists it as uncharacterized. The transcript has 3 exons. The record is from RefSeq and is a predicted model, not a curated record. Lineage: Eukaryota; Metazoa; Chordata; Amphibia; Anura; Hylidae.
GACAGACAGAGGUGUCAGCAGAGAGCACUGUGGUCAGACAGAAAAGAAAUUCAAAAAGAAAAGAGCUUCCUGUGGAGCAUACAGCAGCUAAAAACAUUAAUCACAUAUAUGGUGAGCAACACUGCUGAAAAUGGCUAUUUCCAGUUGGAGGUCCUUCCCAAGUCUCAGGAUGAUCCCUUGUGGAUCCGUGUAUGCAGAGGACUUCUUUGUCUUCAGUGGACUAUGAUGACCAGUGGUUUAUUUUUUUUAUUAUUAAUAAAAUGCUUAAAGAGGGCUUGUUGUUGUUUUUUUUUAAAUUAAAUUUACUUUACUUUCUUAGUAGUGGAAGCCGUCUUAUAGACGGAAUCCAUUACUAAGUAAAAAACUGCUAGCGCUAACCCCAA